Schizosaccharomyces pombe (fission yeast) is the source of this 462-nucleotide non-coding RNA. NCBI's taxonomy places the organism in Eukaryota, Fungi, Ascomycota, Schizosaccharomycetes, Schizosaccharomycetales, Schizosaccharomycetaceae. The record is from the annotation of a GenBank genome assembly.
GACCUAUGAAUAGAAAAUUGUUAAGUUUUGGUUCAUAUAGAAGAUCCGUAAAAUGUUUGAAAUAAUUUAAUUAUAAAAUACUUUAUUCUUGUGCUGAAAACAUGAAGAAAGGAAGGCUAGUACGCGACUCAAGCCUGUUUUCUCAUUGUUUUGUUAUUGGAGGAUUAAUUUGUUUUCCUUAAGAAAAGUUGUUUAUCAAAUUUCUCUUUUCUUUAAAAGAUUGACGAAUUAUUCCAAUCAAUUGUUUGUUAAGCGGGUUGCAUAUUCCUCAAGUUGCUAAAAGCUUUACGUCUUUGGAAUGUUUGUUGUACAGUUUUCCUCUAAAGAAAUGUCUUUUCCCGCUCAUUAGGAUAAAAUUCUGCAUCAAUGAUUUUGUUUGGUUGUUUUAUUUACUACCUUGCAUCUAUGUGCUUAUAAACAUCUAAAAUUUGAAAUUUGAAAUGUUUCAAAUUUACAUUUUUA